GAGCUCGAAAGCUGCGUCUAUCGAUAAAAAUGUAUGGUAACGCAUUACAUACAUGCAUUUGAAUUAAAAACGACUAUCAAUAUUAUGUAAUUUAUUUUCUGAAACGCGAAUAUUGUAUGUUUGUGCCUUAAUUAUAUUGUAAACGGUGGCAAUAGCUGUUUUUCUUGCGGAGAUUGUCCGCUCGCGGGACCCCGCCUCCUUUUGAGGAUGAACCAAUCAGAAGACGAUCGCCGUCGGAAAGAUGCUUGUGGUUUGCAGAAUGGAAAGCACCUUGCUGCGGAAAAUAUUUUCACUUCUUCGUGAAAAUCUAACAAGAAAAUUGACCUGUCAAAUACAAGAUACAGAGUGCCAGUCCCACUUUGAUGAAGUAUUAAAAGCAAUGGUUGGAAUUCAUGGAAUUAGGAGAGCUUUAUUAUUUAAACAGGAAACAGAUAUGGAUGAAUGAAGAUUUGUAUCCCUCUUUAAUUCAUCUGAAAACCUGAUGAUUGAGCGGUCUUGCAAAAAAUGUACCUAAGGAGUCAGAUGGGCUAGUGCAUUCAUUUCAAUAAUCUGGACUCAGUACAUGUAACUGUUUAACUUUAAGGCUUUACUCAAUACCUGAGUGUACAUUUCCAGUUACUAUUUACAAUGAUUUAUGUGAAACCUAAAUUUCAUAUUGUUACACUUCUUUGUCACUGGUCAGAUCUCUUGAGAAGAAAAAAAUCUUUGUAACGUUCAAGACAGAAUAAAUGAAAAGGAUCAAGAACUAAUACAACUAUAUGCUUGUAGUACAGAUGUAAAUUUUUAGGAAAUGUUUCAAAUUGAAGCUACACUUUAAAGCUUUCUGAAAAUAUAUUAACCAGGAGACGUAUUAGCUACAAUUUAAUUUUAAGAUGUCAGACACUGGACAUUCUUAGUUGUUUAUUACUCAAUGAAUAGUUAGUUUAUAGCAUAAGUUCAUGAAGUUAUUGUGACCCAAAGUAUCUGUUAUAAUGAUAUUUACUUCAUUUUUAAAAAAUUGCAUGAAUAUUUGUUUAUGAUCAAUGGUUCAGAAAAACAGUGUUUGUUUG
Mytilus californianus (California mussel) is the source of this 1049-nucleotide long non-coding RNA. RefSeq lists it as uncharacterized. The record is from RefSeq and is a predicted model, not a curated record. The transcript is spliced from 4 exons. NCBI's taxonomy places the organism in Eukaryota, Metazoa, Mollusca, Bivalvia, Mytilida, Mytilidae.